AGCUCCAAUAGCGUAUAUUUAAGUUGUUGCAGUUAAAAAGCUCGUAGUUGGAUUUCGGGUGGGUUGCAGUGGUCCGGUUCGCUGUGUACUGCUGCGGCCUUCCUUUCUGCCGGGGACGGACUCUUGGGCUUCAUUGUCUGGGAUCCGGAGUCGGCGAGGUUACUUUGAGUAAAUUAGAGUGUUCAAAGCAAGCUUACGCUCUGAAUACAUUAGCAUGGAAUAACACGAUAGGACUCUGGCCUAUCUUGUUGGUCUGUAGGACUGGAGUAAUGAUUAAGAGGGACAGUCGGGGGCAUUCGUAUUUCAUUGUCAGAGGUGAAAUUCUUGGAUUUAUGAAAGACGAACUUCUGCGAAAGCAUUUGCCAAGGAUGUUUUCA
RNAcentral lists this ribosomal RNA (377 nucleotides) under uncultured alga. Its description in RNAcentral is "SSU rRNA". It matches the Rfam family "Eukaryotic small subunit ribosomal RNA", at positions 587 to 972 of the family's 1831-position model. The record is from RNAcentral.